UUUGAUCCUGGCUCAGGAUGAACGCUAGCGGCAGGCCUAAUACAUGCAAGUCGAACGGUGAUAUUUAUAUCAUAGUGGCGCACGGGUGCGUAACACGUAUGCAACCUACCUAUUAUUGGGGGAUAGCCUUUGGAAACGGAGAUUAAUACCGCAUAAUACGAUUAACUGGCAUCGGUUGAUUGUUAAAGCAUUUGCGAUAAUAGAUGGGCAUGCGUCCAAUUAGUUAGUUGGUGUGGUAAUGGCUCACCAAGACGAUGAUUGGUAGGGGAUCUGAGAGGAUAAUCCCCCACACUGGCACUGAGAUACGGGCCAGACUCCUACGGGAGGCAGCAGUAGGGAAUAUUGGGCAAUGGGCGAAAGCCUGACCCAGCCAUGCCGCGUGCAGGAAGACGGCGUUAUGCGUUGUAAACUGCUUUUUUAUAGGAAGAAGGAUCCCUUGCGAGGGAAGGUGACGGUACUAUAAGAAUAAGCACCGGCUAGCUCCGUGCCAGCAGCCGCGGUAAUACGGAGGGUGCAAGCGUUGUCCGGAUUUAUUGGGUUUAAAGGGUGCGUA
RNAcentral lists this ribosomal RNA (553 nucleotides) under uncultured bacterium. RNAcentral describes it as "bacterial SSU rRNA". It matches the Rfam family "Bacterial small subunit ribosomal RNA", at positions 12 to 573 of the family's 1533-position model. The record is from RNAcentral.